AUACGUAGGUGGCAAGCGUUAUCCGGAAUUACUGGGCGUAAAGCGCGCGUAGGCGGUUUCUUAAGUCUGAUGUGAAAGCCCCCGGCUCAACCGGGGAGGGUCAUUGGAAACUGGGGAACUUGAGUACAGAAGAGGAGAGUGGAAUUCCAUGUGUAGCGGUGAAAUGCGCAGAGAUAUGGAGGAACACCAGUGGCGAAGGCGGCUCUCUGGUCUGUAACUGACGCUGAUGUGCGAAAGCGUGGGGAUCAAACAGGAUUAGAUACCCUGGUAGUCCACGCCGUAAACGAUGAGUGCUAAGUGUUAGGGGGUUUCCGCCCCUUAGUGCUGCAGCUAACGCAUUAAGCACUCCGCCUGGGGAGUACGGCCGCAAGGUUGAAACUCAAAGGAAUUGACGGGG
RNAcentral lists this ribosomal RNA (397 nucleotides) under uncultured bacterium. RNAcentral describes it as "partial 16S ribosomal RNA". It matches the Rfam family "Bacterial small subunit ribosomal RNA", at positions 523 to 918 of the family's 1533-position model. The record is from RNAcentral.